Molecule: ribosomal RNA, 497 nt
Filed under: uncultured bacterium
Lineage: Bacteria
Description: partial 16S ribosomal RNA
Rfam family: Bacterial small subunit ribosomal RNA
Source: RNAcentral
GAUGAACGCUGGCGGCGUGCCUAAUACAUGCAAGUCGAGCGAACGGACGAGAAGCUUGCUUCUCUGAUGUUAGCGGCGGACGGGUGAGUAACACGUGGAUAACCUACCUAUAAGACUGGGAUAACUUCGGGAAACCGUAGCUAAUGCCGGAUAAUAUUUUGAACCGCAUGGUUCAAAAGUGAAAGACGGUCUUGCUGUCACUUAUAGAUGGAUCCGCGCUGCAUUAGCUAGUUGGUAAGGUAACGGCUUACCAAGGCAACGAUGCAUAGCCGACCUGAGAGGGUGAUCGGCCACACGGGGACUGAGACACGGUCCAGACUCCUACGGGAGGCAGCAGUAGGGAAUCUUCCGCAAUGGGCGAAAGCCUGACGGAGCAACGCCGCGUGAGUGAUGAAGGUCUUCGGAUCGUAAAACUCUGUUAUUAGGGAAGAACAUAUGUGUAAGUAACUGUGCACAUCUUGACGGUACCUAAUCAGAAAGCCACGGCUAACUACGUG